GGGGCCCGGGCAGGCUGGAACUAAUCACCGCAUAGCAGGGCGAACCACCCGUGAUCCCGUGGACUUUUAAUCCGCGGGUUCAGGGUUCGAUCCCCUGGGGCCCUACCA
This 108-nucleotide transfer RNA is filed under the name Nocardiopsis exhalans. RNAcentral describes it as "tRNA-Lys". Lineage: Bacteria; Bacillati; Actinomycetota; Actinomycetes; Streptosporangiales; Nocardiopsidaceae. The record is from RNAcentral.